UUCUCUUCAAUUUUCAACACUAGAACACAGUCCGGUCUGCAGCAAUCGCUAGAGCACUGUGGACUAAUCCACAAAGACCAGAUUCUGCAGUAGUCAGGACAGCCCACCAUUAUGAUGUCACUACUCUGAGGCUCAUGUCCUAACCAGGAUUCUCACAGGCUGACACACUGCUUUCCUUGAUUUAAUCUAAGAUCGUUGUUGAUUCACACAGAGUUGUAACAAAUAACAUAGAGAUAACAGCAAAUUUUCAUUCAGUUCUCCCAAAAAAUACAGUACAAUUGUACAUUACUAUAAAAUUAUAUAAUAUUGUAUAUAGUAACAUUAUGCACAAUACUAAAACAAAUAGGUUUUUCUUUAAAAAUUUAUUUAUAUACUUGAAAAGCAGAGGGACAGACAGACAGAGCUCUUUCACCCUCUGGUUCACUCCCCAAAUGGCUACCACACCUAAGGCUGUGCCAGGAGCUCUAUCCUGGUUCCCCACAUGAAUAGUCAUAGUCCAAGUACUCUGACCAUAAUUCUCUGUCUUUUCAGGUGCAUUAAUAGAAAACUGAAUCAAAAGGAGAGCAGCAGGGACCCCAACCUGCACUCUGAUAUGUGUUGGCAUCCCAAGCAGCAACUUAAUCCCUGCGCCACAAUGCCAACCCCAAAAAGAGAAGAGUGAAUUUUACUUCACUCCUGAUGAGAACAUACCUGGAGAAAUUUCAGAAGUUUUCACUAGACGUAUCCCAACUUGCACUGAGGUGCUGAAAGCAUUUGACACUAGAAAUGAGGACAUGAAAAUACAAGAAAGAAUAAUGUCUCCGGUGCUCACUGACAAAAACAGUGACAUACAUGAGGAGUUUCCCAGAAGCACCAACAAUGCCACCAAAAACAACACACACAUGGAAACUCACACACAUGGGUUUGUGGGAGCACAAUUGCUAACAGGUAAUUUGGGGUCAGGAAAUAGACUCACCAGCUGUGCACUCCAUUUUUCUUUUUUAAUGUAUAUAAAUGGAACAGAUUUCAUGCAUUUCAUAUGGUUUUAACAUAAUGAUACUUCUCACCCUCUCUCCCUUGCUCUCUCCCACCCUCCUCCUUCCUUCCUUAUGGCUGUGUACUCUUGCACUGGUGUGAUGGACUGGUCUUGCAUGCAGCUGGGACCCAGAUGUGCCCUGGUCUUUGCCAGCUACAAUACAGAUACCUAGUGUACAGGGACAAAUGCCAUCUCCCAAAGUCACUCAGUCCAGCUCUCUGCUAUGGCCUGGGAAAGCAGUGGAAGAUGGCCCAAGUAGUUGGAAUCCCUGCACCCGCAAGCUCCUGGCUCCUGGCUUCAGAUCGGCACAGCUCCAGCCAUUGUGGCCAAUUGGGGAGUGAACCAGCUGAUGGAAACCUCUCUCUCCCUGUCUCUCUGCCUCUCCUUCUCUCUCUGUGUAACUCUUUCAAAUAAAUAAAUAAAUCAUUUUAAAAAAAGUAUAUGUAGAUGUGUGGAGGGAUUGGGUAAAGUUGAAAAUGUCCAGUUUAAAAGAGAAACUAUGGUAAGAAAUAAUAGUUGAAAAGUAGAUGAAGGGAAGAUUUUGGCCUCAACUUUAAAUGUCGGAGUAAUGAAUUCCUACUUUGGGUAGGGUUUAUCAUCAGGGAAGCAAAGACAUAAAAUCUAUAAAAAUCCAGGCUAUGGCAUUUGAACUUUUGGUUUAAGGAAUGUUUUUAAACUGGGGACUUUUCCUUUAACUCACUAGUUAGAAUCACAGAUGUUUUAUGCUUCUGCUUAAUUACUCUAUUUAACUGAGCAUUAAUUACUCUAUUUCUACUUGGAGAGGAAACCCUUAGUUUAGUUUUAAAUCUUAUGCUAAAAAGGGAGACAGCUAAUCAAGGAAAGGGUCUUAGGCUGGAUUACCAAGUCACUCAGUUGGAAAGGAGCCUCAGGGAAGUGAAAGGGCACCCCAAUCUCUCAAGGUCAAUUAAAUGCCACAGCGUUCCUCCAAUGGAUCCUUUCAGGCUCAGAUGCUUCCAAAUGAAUAAGAGAAAGCUUAAGAAAUGCAUGGAAUAGCUGUGGUUCACUCACCUGGAGCUUUCCUUUUAAGACAGCCCUGUAGCAAUCAUGAGUAGGUAGAUUACAGCUGAAAUAUUUAAAACUGCAAAGCCCUUGAGAGGGCUUCAGGAACUGAGGUUGGCACUUUCUCAUGCAAAGGGAUUACUGACAGAGCAGGGGGCCAGUGCCAAGCACGGGGCAGGAAAUUCUCUGGUGUUCACCCAACCCAGAUGCCCUGGGGACCACACCUGAACCAGGGCCUGGAAGGGCAGUGACCCAAGUCUUUCAUCCCUGUAGAAUAAAUUAACUGCUCUGCCUUGUCACAUCACAGCGCUGUAGUUCAAGCAACCCAUUUUUAAUUGUCUCAAAAUUCAUAUAUUUCACAUAUUUUAUAGCCAUGUCAAAAAUUUACUGAGAGUAAACUCCAGCCAAUUACCUAAAAACUACACCUCAAUCAGAUUUUUUUUGAUUCUCAAAUCACUUUUUGUGCAAUAAUUCUUUUUAAAGAGUUAUUUAAGGGGCUAGUGCUGUGGCAUAGUAGGUAAAGCCACUGUGUGUAGUGCCAGCAUCCCAUAUGGGUGUUGGUUCCAGUCCUGGCUGCUUCACUUCCAAUCCAGCUCUCUGCUCUGGCCUGGGAAAGCAGUAGAAGAUGGCCCAAGUGGUUGGGCCCCUGCACCUGCGUGGGAGACUCAGAAGAGGUUCCAGGCUCCCGGCUUCAGAUCAGCUCAACUCCAGCCAAUGUGGCUAUUUGGGGAGUGAACCAAUGGGUGAAAGACUCUACCUCUGCCUCUCUGUAACACUGCCUUUCAAAUAAAUACAUAAUUUUUUUUAAAAAGUUAUUUAAGUAAUUGAUAAUGUUGCAUGCCUAAUAAGGUAAAUUAUUUGCUGCACAAAUUCUCAAAUUACCAUCAGUCUUCCAUUGAUGCUUGUUGUGGUUGUUUCCUGAUUUCCUACCUAAAACUGGCCAGGAAAACUGAGUAAUAACUCUCAUGUGUACCUCAAUGUUCAGCUUUUGCCAAAUAAUGCUGACUGGAGUGGACAAAGGAACAAAAUGGUCCCAGAAAAAAUAGAUUGCUACAUCAAGUUUUGAGAGCCUAUAAAAAUUCAAAUAUGAAUUUUUAAAAUAAAUCUAAUAAUUCUCUAUUACCAUGUGUCUUCCCAAUAAUCUCAUUUUGACAUCUGAUAUGCUUAAAGAGAUAGAUACAUUUAAAACAAUUAAAAAGUUUUUCUUUUAUGACGUAUUUCCCACCUUUAUUAACUUUUUAAAUUAAAUCUGGCUUCAAAUUGUGAUAAAGAAUUCCAGAAAUUAUUUUAUUAGGUCACAAUGUACUCAGCAUGGUUAUAAUUCCCCAUUAAAAUAUUAUUUACUUUUUAAAAAAUAGUUUUCAGCCGGCGCCGUGGCUCAAUAGGCUAAUCCUCCACCUUGCGGCGCCGGCACACCGGGUUCUAGUCCCGGUUGGGGCGCCGGAUUCUGUCCCGGUUGCCCCUCUUCCAGGCCAGCUCUCUGCUAUGGCCAGGGAGUGCAGUGGAGGAUGGCCCAGGUGCUUGGGCCCUGCACCCCAUGGGAGACCAGGAAAAGCACCUGGCUCCUGGCUCCUGCCAGGAUCAGCGCGGUGCGCCGGCUGCAGCGGCGGCCAUUGGAGGCAGUUCCAACGACAAAGGAAGACCCUUCUCUCUGUCUCUCUCUCUCACUGUCCACUCUGCCUGUCAAAAAAAAAAAAAAGAAAAAAAAAUUGAUGGUUGAAAAUAUUGCUAUGUCAUUUUUUUGCGUUCAGUGCAUAUUGAAAAUCCAUCACUUACCUAACCUGAUGGAACAUUAAACUCAAAACUAUUAUUUGCAUUCAAGCUACUAAUUCUAAUUAAAUAAUUCGCUUGGCUUCCAUUUUCUUUGUGAGAGCUCCAUUUUCAUUGGAUUUGCCAACAAUGGGACUGGUAAUUUUUGUGAUCCUGGGCCUAAGUGAUACAAGAGAGUGGUGUUAAAAAAGUAGUACGCAGGAGUGAGCAUUUGACCAAGUGGUUAGAAAUCCCCUUGAGACAGCUACUUGCUACAAUGGAGUGAGGGAGUUUGAGUGUUGUUUCCAUUUCUGUCUUCAGCUUCCUGCUAAUGCAGACCCUGGGAAGCAGCAGGUGAGGGCUCAAGGAAUUGGGUCCCUGCCACCCACACAGAACUGUGUUAGGUUUCUAUCUCCUGGCUUUGUCCUCUGCCUCGCCCCAGCCAGUACCGAAAUUUGGGGACUGAAUCAAAAACUGGGAGCGCGCGCGCUCUCUCUGUAUGUUUCUCUCUCAAUGACUCUGCCUUUCAAAAGAAUACACGAAAACUAAAAAAUAGAAAUAUAAAAGGUGGAGAAAGUUAUGUCUAAAAUUAUCAGGCUUUAAAGACACACUUCCUGUACAUUCAUCAGACACUUGGCUCCUAACACUACUACACCUUCCAGUCCAAUCGGGACUGUCAGACUGACCAGCACCACCUCAACCAGCGCCAGUCCUGCCAGCUCAGAAGUGCUUCCUGGGAGACAUGCAGGAGGGUGAGCAGCCCCCAGCCCCACUGCAGCUAGGGAGAGGGCGUGCGGAAGGAGGGUGAGUGGGUGAGCAGCCCCCACCCCCGCUGCGGCCUGUGGGGCGGUGCUGGGGGCAGAGCCAGGGGCAGGCACCUGCUAACCACAUGACCAGGGCCAUUGCAUCCUGUACUGGUGCAGGAAUCCAAUUACAGCUGUGGCCAGUGCCCAGUCCCCCUGCCCAGGCCUGGCCACUAUGUCCUGAAGACACACACACACACACACACACACGUAUACACACACAUACAUGGACACACACGCACAUACACAUACAUGGACAUGCACAUGCAUGGACACACAUGCAUGCACACACAUACACAUACACGAACCCACAUAGAUACACACAUACAUGGACACAUAUAUGCACACAUAUAUACACACAUACAUGGAGACACACACACACACAUGUAUUUAUUUGGCUUCCGAUGCCCCCACCCCUGCCUCUGUUUGCCAAAGGCAGGAGCCCGGCAGCCCGAGCCUAUGGGGACACCACCCUUGUCCCCUCCCCAGGAGCCCUGCAGUUUCUCCAAGCUCCACAAGGGGCCAGGGGUGGUGGUGGUGGUGUGUGGGGGGGUGUUCCAAGCCUCCUGGAUGAAUGCCCGCCCCAUACCCCCAGCUGUCUGCCGGUUCUUCCUGGGGUCUGACUCGAGUCUCUCGUGCUUUCGAGGUUUUGUUUUCUCCCUCACUGGGUCUCUGGGGGAAGCUGAGAAAGUCGGCUCAGAGCCCCUUGGAAAAGCCACUCCCUUCAGUUAGGGGGGAUUCACCUGUGCCCUCUCUUCUCACGUGGCUGAUCUGAAAUCCCACCGGCCCGGCCCUUGGGUGGGCACUCCUACAGCCACGUGCUGCCCCCGCCAUGAACGGCCUCCCACCCUCACCGCUCACAACCCCUUACCUUGCUUUGGGACCCAAUGACUUCCCCAGGGACUCUCUUUGUCUUGUGCACUACUGUGUCAAGGGUCCCUGCAUACAGUCGGAGCUCAAUAAGUAGCCCUUGGCUUCAGUUGCCACCAGGUUAGCCCUUCCUCCAUGGCCAAUACUGCUCUAAAGCAGAAUUGUUAAUUCGGGUUUGGUGUUAAAGAGGGAGUCGUGGGUGGGAUUCUAACCCCGUGCCCCAGCCUGGGCUGGAGGAGGAAGAGUUGGGGAUGGGGGCUUGAAGAGGGGAGUGAGCAGGUGCAAAGGCCCUGGGGUAGGAUGGCGGGGGGAGAAGGAGUGGUGCAGGCUGGGCUUAUAACCAGGGCAGCAUCUUUGGGCCCCAUUUGGCCACUCCUACUGGACAGCUGACCCCAGUCCCCAGGAUUCGGCCCCACCCCCAGUCCUGGGUCCUCUCCAGGGCUGGGAGUUUGCCCCACGUGCUGCGGGCCCUGGACUAGAGUUCAUGGGUGCGAUCAGGUUGGGCGGGCAGGCUCCUUAAUUAGCCCUGCCUGGCAGCCAGCCCUGCCUGCCUCGGUUUCCCUCCUGCCACCUCACCUGCUUGCUGCGGGCGAGGCCACAGCUCCAAGUCCCACCUGGGGACGACCCCAGGCCUCCUCCCGACCCGGGCUCUCCAGGAGCUGGGGAGGGGGAACCCUGAGAGUGCCUCGCUCUGGCUGUCCUCUCUCUCUCUCCUGCCACCCCACAGCGCUGCAGCGUGGCUGCAUCCCUCACUUGCUGCCCCGCGGCGCUGGCCGCCUCCUCCGGCAGCCCUCCGGCCUUGGCGCUGGUGGCGGCGGGCGGCGGGCGGCGGCGACUCGGUCCCGGGUAGCCGGCGUCGGAGCUGUUGGCGUAGCUGCUGCACGCCGAGCCCUACCCGGCACCAGGCGGCGGAGACUCAUUCCUGGGCAGCCCGCGUUGGAGCUGACGGCGCAGCCGCGGGUGCGGCAGGUGCGGGCGGAGGUGGCGCAGCGCUGGGCAUGGACCACGCGUGGGAGCUUGCGGCGCGGCUGCUCUUAGCGCUGCCCCUGCACAAGACGCCACUGCUGGCCGCCGCCGGCCGAGCGCGCUGUGGCCUUCCCGGACCAGGAGCAAGUGGACAAGCUGGGCCGCCUGAAGGGCGAGUCCGGCCGCCUCAAGGCCAUCGCGCUCUCGGACCCGGCGCGCACGGAGAGGCUGCAGAGCGCUCAGGUGGCGCUCACGUAGUAGUGCGCGCCCGGUACCCGACCCAGCCCCAGCGCGCCCAGCCCCAGCGCGCUCCCGGCGCCUCUCAUCUCCGGCUCCACUUCCUACACUGGUGGGCAAGAAGCCCACCUAGACUCUCACCCGGGACUCGCUGCUGGAGGGCAGCACUUUCAACUGGCCCUAGGGCCCCGGCCGGUGAGCCGCCGCAUUAAGACACUCUCUGCUCUGCUUUCCGUAUCACAGAUUGUACAGCACCUCGAAAUAGUUUCCUUCAAUGUGAUGAUCGGUCACAACCCAGAGAGGUUAAUUGAAGAAGUGUGUAAUCACGACCAUACUCUUCCUUAGUAACAUCAGGCAGAUUUAGGCAUCUCUACAAUAUAUUAAAUAAUUUCCAGAUAUUUCCUAGGAACACUUUGCAUUGUUUUAUGGACUUCAAAAUUUCAUGGGAAAUAGGAGUAGAAGAUAAGUUUCUGUUGGUGCGUAACAUUUGAAAUAUGAAUUUUGGGGCCAGCGCUGUGGCUCAGCGGGUUAACACCCUAGCCUGAAGCACCGGCAUCCCAUAUGGGCGCAGGUUCGAGGCCUGGCGGUUCCACUUCCCAUCCAACUCUCUGCUAUGGCCUGGGAAAGCAGUAGAGGACGGCCCAAGUACUUGGGCCACUGCACCCGCAUGGGAGACCCAGAAGAAGCGCCUGGCUUCGGAUCGCGGCAGCUCCGGCUGUUGUGGCCAUCUGGAGAGUGAACCAUCAGAUGGAAGACUUCACUCUCUCUCUGCCUCUCCUCUCUCUGUGUAGCUCUGACUUUGAAAUAAAAUAAAAUAAAUCUUUGAAAUAUGUAUUUUUUCAUAAUACAUGUUUUCCAUGAACUUUUUGAAUAAUCUAUGUAUAUAGAUUUCAACAUGUUUUGAACCAAAAUAAAUUUAACUUUUAAUUCCAUUUCCACAAUCUUUUUAAGGUACAUUUAUGUGAGUCAAACAAAAGGCUCGAGGAAAUAUAUAAACAUGUUUUUGAAAAAUAGUGGAAAUAUGCCAUAGAUUCUGCUCUGCAAGGGUUUUUUUUUUUGCUUAAUAAUGUAAAUAUAUUUUAUAGCUAAACAGUAUUAUCUUCAUAUGGAUUUACCAUAUACUAUUUAAUGAAUACUGUACUGUUAGAUAUUUACUUACUUAUUUAUUUAUUUGACAGGUAGAGUUAGAAAGUGAGAGAACAGAGAGAAAGGUCUUCCUUCCAUUGGUUCACUCCCCAAAUGGCUGCAAUGGCCAGAGCUGCGCCGAUCCGAAGCCAGGAGCCAGGAGUUUCUUCCUGGUCUCACAUGCAGAUGCAGGGGCCCAAGGACUUGGGCCAUCUUCUACUGCUAUCCCAGGCCACAGCAGAGAGCAACUGGGACUAGAACUGGUGCCCAUAUGGGAUGCCGGUGCUGCAGGUGAAGGAUUAACCUAGUGUGCCAUGGUGCUGGCCCCUGAUCCUGGAUUUUUCUUUUUGGAAAAGUUUUAACUGCAAGUUGAGUUUCUUUAAUAGAUUUAAAGCUAUUUAUCUUACAUAUUUUUUGAGUGAGACUUCUUGGUUUGUGCCUUUCCAGGAAUUUAUUCAUUUCAUGAAUUUUUUGAAUUUAUAGGCAUAAAAUUUAUUAUAUUUCUUUAGUACCCUUCUACUAUGUAUAAAAUUUGUAGUAAUGUCACUUCUUUCACUCCUAACUUGGUAAUUUGUCUUUUUCUUGUUUAUCAGCCCAGUUAGUGGUUUCCAAGAAGUAGCUUUUAUUUUACGGUUUUUCUGUUUUUAAAAGGUUUCUAAUUGCUUUUUUUAAGAUUUAUUUUAUUUAUUUGAAAAAACAGAGUUACAAAGAGAGAUAGAGACAGAGAGAGAGUUCUUCCAUCCACUGGUUCACUCCCCAGAUGGCCGCAACGGUUGGAGCUGCGCCGAUCUGAAGCCAGGAGCCAGGAACUUCUUCCAGGUCUCCCAUGUGGGUGCAGGGGCCCAAGGACUUAGGCCAUCUUCUACUGCUAUCCCAGGCCAUAGCAGAGAGCUAGAUUGGAAGAGGGGCAGCCGGGACUAGAACCGACACCCAUAUGGGAUGCCGGCACUUCAGGCCAGGUUGUUAACCUACUAUGCCACAGCGCUGGCCCCUCUAAUUGAUUUUUAAAUAUCUUCUUUGGCCAGAGUGCUGCUUAGGGCAUCUGCCCUCACAAUCAGCCCUUAAGGCAUUUGGAUCUGGCUAAAAAGCCCACGAGAGUUUCUCAGGCAUGGAAAGCCAAGGGGGAAAAAAAUGACCUAAAUGAAAGAUCUCUGUGAGUGAGAUCCCAGCAGAAAGAAUGGGCCAUCAAAGAAGGUGGUACAUUUCUCAGAAGGGAGGAGAGAGCUUCCACUUUGAUUAUGGCCUUGUCUAAAUAAGGUCAGAGUUUGUGAACUCAAGAGGCUUCCAUAGCCUUGGCAGCUCAUGAAAAGAGCCUCGGGUGAUUACUGGCAUCAUAAAUAAGUGUGUCAAUUUUUAAAUCAACAACAGGAGUCACUGUGCACCUACUCCCCAUGUAGGAUCCCCAGAGAGACAGAGAGACAGAGAGAAAGGUCUUCCUUCCAUUGGUUCACCCCCACAAAUGGCCACUAUGGCUGACGCGCUGCAGCCAACGUGCUGCCCCGAUCCGAAGCCAGGAGCCAGGUGCAGGGCCUAAGCACUUGGGCCAUCCUCCACUGCACUCCCGGGCCACAGCAGAGAGCUGGGCUGGAAGAGGAGCAACUGAGACAGAAUCCAGCGCCCCAGCUGGGACUAGAACCCGGUGUGCCAGUGCCCCAGGCGGAGGAUUAGCGAAGUGACCCGCGGCGCCAGCCCUUUUUAACAUUCUUAACCCUGAAAUCUGCUCUGUCUAGAAUGACCAUAAUCUUUUUAACAUUGUUUUCAUUAAUAUGAAAAUUGCAGCAUGAUAUCUUUUCCUGUUCAUUUACUUUGACUCCUUGCAUUUGUUAUUUCUAAAAUAGAUUUUUUAGGCAGUGAUAGUUGAUUCUCACUAUGUUAGCUGAUCCAAAAAUUUCCAUGUUUUAAUUGAGUGUUUGGACCAUUUAGAUUUAAUGCUAUCAUCAAUGUUACCAACUAAUACUACCUCCUCACUAUUUGUUUUUUAUUUGUCCCAUUUUUUUCUUAUUUUCAUACUUUUUUCCCUUUUUGAGAUAACUGAGUUUUCUAAUUAUUCCAUUUUAUAACUUGUUUUGCUUCUUAGUUAUAGCACUCUGAUUUAUGACAAAUAAGCAGGAGAAAAGAUGUUCCAUAUACUGAGUAACUCAAACAUUCAAUUAAUACUACAGGGAGAUACCAAUAUAUAUGCUCACUAGAAUGGGUAAAAUGUAAAAAGAGGAAAUUAACACAUAUUGGUAUAGAGUGAACUAACUGGAACUCUCACAGGAUUUUAAAAUUUGUGCAACUACUUGAGAAAGCUGUUUGCAAUUUUUUUUAGAAAUCUUAAUGUAUGCUUACAUCAUGAACCAGCCAGUUAACAAAAAGAGCCAAAACCAGCCAGUGAAGAAUUCCUCUGGCAUCCCUGAUUUUUUUUUUAAAACAAAAACCCCAGGCAAACCCACUUUCAAUAACCAUGAAUUCCUUCUGUAUUAAAAAAGGCUGAAAUUUUACUUUUCCCAAAUACACAUAUCAGAUGUCUAUGUGUUCCGCAUCAUUUUUGAGAAUAAAAUCUCAGAUGUGGGGUGCUGCUUUCUAUAUCAAGGUAUACUCUGCUUAAUGUAUAAGUAAAUUUCAAAAAUGAGAGGAACGGCAAAUAGUCAAAAGAAUAAGAGAGCAGGGGAGAAAUUAAAAAUAUAAACAAAAUGAGGAAUCCAAAUCAUGACAUGAAAUAAUAAUUUAAAAAGGACCAGGGAUUCAAUUACAUGAAUUCCUCCCUAGGACACAAAGUCAAGAAAGUAACAUGAUAAAUUUAUUGAAAUAUCGAAAAUAAAAUGCACCACAUGAACUAAAAAAUAAGACAGAAAAUUUGUUCUGGUAUUAUAAACUCGGUUAGUAGCAACAAAGGUGUUUUUUCCAGCUUCUACCAGCAAAAACCAGCCAAUUAUGAGCUCAUAUAUCAUCCCUUUGUUUUUUUUUUUUAAAUGAAAACCAGAAGCACACUCAUUUCAAUAGCUGUGAAUUCCUUCUGUACUAAAAAUUUUUUAAAUUUACUUUCCCAAAUACAUAUAUCAGAAGUGUACAUGUUCUCUUUUUUGAGUGUAAAAUUUCAGAUGUGGGGUGCUUUUUUCUAUGUUAAGAUAUACUAUGGCAAAUGUGUUAUUGUUGAUGAAAGAACAAAAUAAGUAAAUUUAAAAAAUGGAAAUCAAUGAAGGAAAUGGUACAAAGACAAAGAAUAAGGGAGUCAUCAUGAGACCAAAAAUAUAAGGAAAUAGAGGAAUCCAAUAAGUGUAAUGCAGGAAUCAUGAAAUAAUAAUAAUAAAAAAGACCCAAUAUCCAAUUCCAUUUAUUCCUCCAUUGGGCACAAAGCCAAGAAUGUAAAACAGUAAAUUUGUAAAAAUAUCCAAAAUAAAAUGUACCACAAAAAAUAAGAAAGAAGACAAAAAAAUGUGACCAGGAAUGGGAAACUCAGUUAGUAGCAAAAGAAAUGGAGUUUUCCAGUUUGUACCAGUGAAAACAGUUCCUGUAACAUACAUGAUUUUUGUAAAAAUGAAAUGUGAGGCAAAGCCAUUUUCAAUAACUAUAAAUUCCUUCUGUUCAAAUAAAAGUUAAAAUUAUACCUUUCCCAAAUACAUAUAUCAGAAGUGGAGGUGUUCUCUGUCUUUUCUGAGUAUAAAAUCACUGAUAUAGGGUGUUUUCUUUCUGUAUUAACAUAUACUAUGUCAAAUGUGUUGUUGUUGAUGAAAUAAGUAAUAAGUAAAUGUAAAAAAUUGGAAUCAAUGAAGGGAAUGGUGAAUAGUCAAAAGAAUAAGUGAGCUGAUGACAGGCAAAAAUAUAGAGAAAUUGAGGAAACCAAAUGGUGUAAUGGGGGAGACAUGAAAUAAAAAAAUAUAUAUAAAAAACAGAUGUCUAAUUACAUGAAUUUCUCCAUCAGGCACAAAGCCAAGAGUGUAACACAAUAAAUUUAUAAAAAAUAUACAAAAUAAAAUGUACCACAUAAAAAAAUAAAAUAUGGAUUGCCAUAGGAAACUCAGUAGCAACAGAACUGUUUUUUUUUUCCAGGUUAUAAUAGCAAAAAACUGGCCAAUGAACAGCUCUUCUAGCAUUCUGAUUUUUUAAUUGGAAAAUCUGAGGCAAAAUAAUUUUCAAUAACUGUGAAUUCCUUCUGUAUUACAAAAGGCUUAAAUUUAUCUUCUCAAAUACGUAUACCAUAAGUGGACAUGCUCUCUGUCAUUUUUGAGAAUAAAAUCUCAGCUGUGGGGUGCUUUUUUCUAUAUUAAGUUAUACUUUUUUAAAUGUGUUGUUGUUGCUGAAAGAAAAAUAAAGAUGUAAAUUUAUAAAACAGGAAUCUAUGAUGGGAAUGGUGCAGAGCCAAAUGAAUAAGGGAACCAGUGGGAUGCCAAAAAUAUAAAUAAAAUGAGGAUUCCAAAUUGUGAAAUGUGGGUGUCAUGAAGUAAUAAUAAUAAAACAAGACUGUCAGUGCCAUUAUGACAUUUCUCCAUUGAGAUAAAGUCGAGAAUAUAACAGUAUAAAUUUACAAAAAUAUCCAAAAUAAAAUGUACCACAUAAAAAUAAAAAAUAAGACUAAAAUGUGGCCUGGUAUGGGAACCUCAGCAGCAACAGAACUGGUCUUUUCCAGUUUUUACCAGCCAAAACCAGCCAAUGAAGAGUUUCUCUAAUUUUUUAAAAAUGAAAACCUGACGUGAACUCAUUUCUAACACCCACAAAUUCCUUUUGUUUUAAAAAGGCUUAAGUUUUACAUUACCCAAAUACACAUAUCAGAAGUGGAUGUGUUCUUUGCCUGUUUUGAGAAUAAAAUGUCAGAUGUGGCUGCUUUUUUCUAUAUUAUACUAUGCCAAAUGUGUUAUUGUUGAUAAAAAGAAAAAUAUGUAAAUUAAAAAAACAGGCAACGAUGAAGGUAGCCAUACAUAGACAAAAGAAUAUGGGACCCAGCAUGACACCAAAAAUAUAAACAAAAUGAGGAAUCCAAAUAAUGAUAUGUGUGAGUCAUGAUAAUAACGAUAAUAAUAAUAAAACCAUACAUCCACUUACAUGAAUUCCUCUGCAGGGUACAAAACCAAGAAAGUAAGAGUAAAUUUAUUUAAAUAUUCAAAAUAAAAUAUUCUACACAAAAUAAAAUAUUCAACAUCACUAGCCAUCAGAGAAAUGCAGAUCAUAACCACAAAGACAUAUCUCCUUACCCCUGUCAGAUUGGCUAUUAUUCAAUGUCUCUGUAGUUCUGCUUUUCAAAUAAAUAAAGACAUAUAUAGAGAGGGGGCAGAGAGACAGAGAGACAGAGAGAUCUUCUAACUGCUGGUUCACUUCCUAUGGGGCCGUAUUGGCCAGGGAUGGGCUAUUAUGCAGCUAGGAGCCAGGAACUUCAUACGGUACUUCCACAUGGAUGCAGGGGUCCAGGUAAUUGGACCAUCUGCUCCUUUCCCAGUUGCAACAAAAGUGGAGCAGCCAGGAUUCAAAUCAUUCACGUGGGAUGCCAGAACUGCAGGCGGUGUUUUAACCCAUUCUGCCACAAUACCACCUCACUGCACCUCAUUUUUAACCAUGUUUAAUUAGUUUAUUUUCUUGCAAUAUAGUUGUUUGAGCUCUCUCAACAGUUGGGUCUAGACUCUUACUAUUUUGUAUGAUUUGAAAAUACCUUCCCCUCAUCUAUGGGUUGUUAGUUGUUUCUUCAUUCUCUUUGCUUUACAGAAGCUCUGUACUUUGAAACAUCAAAUUUGUCUAUUUUUGCUUAUGUUGCCUGUACAUUUGGGGGUGUAAUAAAAAAAUCAUUGCCCAGACUUAUUUCAGGAUACAUUUGCCCUAUGUUUUCUUCCAGAAGUUUUAUAGUCUCGGGUCUUAUAUUUAAGUUGUUCAUCACUGUUUAGUUUAUUUUUGUAUCUGGUGUGAGAUUACUGCAUAAUUACAUCAUUUUUACAUACAUUUUCCCUACAUGAUUCAAUGAAGAGAUGCCCAUUCCCCAUUCUGUGCUUUUGGCACCAAUCCUGAGAAUGUGUGUAAUUUCUAGAUCAUCUGUUGUGCUCCAUUGCUCUGUGGUUCUAUUUGUAUGUAAGAAUCACGGGGUUUAUUUUAUUUUAAGUUUAGUGUAUUUCACAGAUACAGAUUUAGAGAACACAGUGAUACUUCCCAUUCUAUUCUCCCUCCCACCAACAUUACAAUCCUUCUUCCUCUUCCCUCUCCUGUUCCCACUCUUAAAGUUUUACAAAUAUCUGCUUUCAGUUUACCUAAUGAAUGUACAGUUAACCCUACACUAAGAAUAAGAGUUUAACAAAUAGUAUGAAGGAAAAAAAACACUGCUCCUUAACAGAAGAGACAAGGGCUGUAAACCAUCAUUGACCCUCAAAAUGUUCAUUUCACUCCAAUACAUUACAUUAUUAGGUACUCCAUCAGUUACCUCAGGUCAGGGAAAACAUGUGAUAUCUUUUUGGGACUGUCUUAUUUCACUAAGUAUAAUGGUUUCUAGUUGUUUCCAUUUUGUUGCAAAAGACAGGAUUUCAUUUCUUACAGCUGAGUAGCACUCCAUAGUGUAUAUAUACCAUAAUUUCUUUAUCCAGUCAACAGUGGAUGGACAUCUGGGUUGAUUCCAUAUCUUAGCUAUUGUGAACUGUGUUGCAGUGAACGUGGGGGUAUAAAUAACUCUUUCAGAUGCUUAUGUCUAUUGGUUUGGGUUAAUUCCCAGGAGUAGGAUGGCUGGAUCAUGUGGUAAUGUAGUAGGUCUAUAUUCCAUUUUCUAAGAUAUCUGCACAAUGUCUUCCACAGUGAACCACUGGUUUUUUAGGUCAGAUAUGUUAUACCUACAGCCUUAUUAGUUCUCACCAGAUAGAUUCAGCCACCCUCAGAUCUUGCUUUUUCCAUUUGAAUUUUAAGAUUUUUCUUCCUAUUUCUCUGGAGAAUGCCAUUGAUAUUUGCUUGGGGUAAGCACUGAAUCUGUACAUCACAUGGCAGUGGAUAUUUUAACAUUAAUUCUUUAAAUCAAAGAAUAUGAAUUUCUUUCUAAUUUGGAUGUUUUCUUAAACUUCUUGCAUCACUUUUAUAAUUUUCAUGUAGACAUAAUUUACUACCUUAAUUAAAUUUAC
Oryctolagus cuniculus (rabbit) is the source of this 14846-nucleotide non-coding RNA. NCBI's taxonomy places the organism in Eukaryota, Metazoa, Chordata, Mammalia, Lagomorpha, Leporidae. The record is from RefSeq and is a predicted model, not a curated record.